Molecule: ribosomal RNA, 233 nt
Filed under: uncultured bacterium
Lineage: Bacteria
Description: partial 16S ribosomal RNA
Rfam family: Bacterial small subunit ribosomal RNA
Source: RNAcentral
CGGGACGGGUGAGUAAUGUCUGGGAAACUGCCUGAUGGAGGAGGAUAACUACUGGAAACGGUAGCUAAUACCGCAUAACGUCGCAAGACCAAAGAGGGGGACCUUAGGGCCUCUUGCCAUCGGAUGUGCCCAGAUGGGAUUAGCUAGUAGGUGGGGUAACGGCUCACCUAGGCGACGAUCCCUAGCUGGUCUGAGAGGAUGACCAGCCACACUGGAACUGAGACACGGUCCAG